GAUGAACGCUAGCGGGAGGCUUAAUACAUGCAAGUCGAACGGCAGCGCGUUGAACUUCGGUUCGAUGGCGGCGAGUGGCGAACGGGUGCGUAACGCGUACACAACUUGCCUACUACAGGAGGAUAGCCUCGGGAAACUGAGAAUAAUACUCCAUAGCAUUAUAAUGUCGCAUGGCAUAAUAAUUAAAGUUCCGAUGGUAGUAGAUAGGUGUGCGUAUGAUUAGAUAGUUGGUGAGGUAACGGCUCACCAAGUCGAUGAUCAUUAGGGGGCGUGAGAGCGUGAUCCCCCACACGGGUACUGAGACACGGACCCGACUCCUACGGGAGGCAGCAGUAAGGAAUAUUGGACAAUGGGGGCAACCCUGAUCCAGCCAUCCCGCGUGCAGGAUGACGGCUCUCUGAGUUGUAAACUGCUUUUAGAUAGGAAGAAACCUUUUCAUUUAUGAGAAGCUGACGGUACUAUCAGAAUAAGCACCGGCUAAUUCCG
This 486-nucleotide ribosomal RNA is filed under the name uncultured Saprospiraceae bacterium. Its description in RNAcentral is "bacterial SSU rRNA". It matches the Rfam family "Bacterial small subunit ribosomal RNA", at positions 28 to 505 of the family's 1533-position model. The record is from RNAcentral. Lineage: Bacteria; Pseudomonadati; Bacteroidota; Saprospiria; Saprospirales; Saprospiraceae.